AUUGCCCUCGAAUAAUCGGAUGUUUAAUUCAAUUUCGUUCGGUUCAGACAGGGGCAUACAACAAUGGUUUCGAGCUUGUUAUUCAGAUUUGAUGAUUUUUGAUCUUCUGAAUUAAGUUUGAUGUUAU
Lactuca sativa (garden lettuce) is the source of this 127-nucleotide small nucleolar RNA. RefSeq annotates it as small nucleolar RNA snoR138. Lineage: Eukaryota; Viridiplantae; Streptophyta; Magnoliopsida; Asterales; Asteraceae. The record is from RefSeq and is a predicted model, not a curated record.